This 304-nucleotide ribosomal RNA is filed under the name Ehrlichia canis. RNAcentral describes it as "bacterial SSU rRNA". It matches the Rfam family "Bacterial small subunit ribosomal RNA", at positions 128 to 448 of the family's 1533-position model. The record is from RNAcentral. Lineage: Bacteria; Pseudomonadati; Pseudomonadota; Alphaproteobacteria; Rickettsiales; Anaplasmataceae.
ACCUAGUAGUACGGAAUAGCCAUUAGAAAUGGUGGGUAAUACUGUAUAAUCCCCGAGGGGGAAAGAUUUAUCGCUAUUAGAUGAGCCUACGUUAGAUUAGCUAGUUGGCGAGGUAAUGGCUUACCAAGGCUAUGAUCUAUAGCUGGUCUGAGAGGACGAUCAGCCACACUGGAACUGAGAUACGGUCCAGACUCCUACGGGAGGCAGCAGUGGGGAAUAUUGGACAAUGGGCGAAAGCCUGAUCCAGCUAUGCCGCGUGAGUGAAGAAGGCCUUCGGGUUGUAAAACUCUUUCAAUAGGGAAGA